GAUGAACGCUGGCGGCGUGCCUAAUACAUGCAAGUCGAGCGAACGGACGAGAAGCUUGCUUCUCUGAUGUUAGCGGCGGACGGGUGAGUAACACGUGGAUAACCUACCUAUAAGACUGGGAUAACUUCGGGAAACCGUAGCUAAUACCGGAUAAUAUUUUGAACCGCAUGGUUCGAAAGUGAAAGACGGUCUUGCUGUCACUUAUAGAUGGAUCCGCGCUGCAUUAGCUAGUUGGUAAGGUAACGGCUUACCAAGGCAACGAUGCAUAGCCGACCUGAGAGCGUGAUCGGCCACACUGGAACUGAGACACGGUCCAGAGUCCUGAGGGAGGCAGCAGUAGGGUAUCGUCCGCAAUGGGCGAAAGCCUGACGGAGCAAGCGCGAGUGAGUGGUGAAGGUCCUCGGAUCGUAAAACUCUGUUAUUAGGGAAGAACAUAUGUGUAAUUAACUGUGCACAUCUUGACGGUACCUAGUCAGAAAGCCACGGCUAACUACGUG
This 497-nucleotide ribosomal RNA is filed under the name uncultured bacterium. Its description in RNAcentral is "partial 16S ribosomal RNA". It matches the Rfam family "Bacterial small subunit ribosomal RNA", at positions 28 to 507 of the family's 1533-position model. The record is from RNAcentral.